AUGAAUUCCAGUUUAAACUUAAGCCACACGGGCACCAAGUUAGAGCGAGUCCAUAAAGUCAAAAGAAUUUUUUGUUCAGUUAGGAAAUCUUACCGUCUCCCACAGCAGCUCGUGAAACUCGGUUUCCUCGUCGAUACGGACGCGGACCAGGAGCGCAGAAGCCCGCGACUUCGUGGUUCCCGCCAAAACAAAGGCUGGGUCGGCGUUCCACGCUCAGGUGUCCUGUUGGAACCACUGUGUGACGAUUAUGUGGCGAAGAGAUGGGCUGGAACAUCUUCAGUUUCCAAGACCGUACACAUGGUUUCUGACCGCAGCUCAAAAUUUUCCACUGGGCUCCCUCCUGAGAACAAACACCGCUCAGCGGAGAGUGUGCGCCGCCUGCGCGUGUCCAGCCUCCCCGCGCCGCCCUUUGCAGGACCAGGGGCCGCUGCACCCCACACCGAAGCCCAGACCUUACCUAGCAGAGGUUCGCUUUAUCCGCCACACUACCACUCCCCCAUCAGACGUAUUUUCCGUUUCUCCUUUGCCUAUAAAAAUGAGAAGAUUCAUCAGGUUGGAAUUUAA
RNAcentral lists this long non-coding RNA (564 nucleotides) under Felis catus (domestic cat). RNAcentral describes it as "lncRNA (ENSFCAG00000045878.2)". The record is from RNAcentral. Lineage: Eukaryota; Metazoa; Chordata; Mammalia; Carnivora; Felidae.